Long non-coding RNA from Acipenser ruthenus (sterlet), 1961 nucleotides. RefSeq lists it as uncharacterized. Lineage: Eukaryota; Metazoa; Chordata; Actinopteri; Acipenseriformes; Acipenseridae. The record is from RefSeq and is a predicted model, not a curated record. The transcript has 4 exons.
UUAAACCCGUUUGACUGUGGGAAAAAAAUACUUUUAAACAGUGCGUCUAAAAUUAACUGCGCGUGUGAAAAUAAAUUGGACCUGACGCGCACUUAAUAAAUUGACUGCAAAGGGUUAAACAGUUCAGCAAAUUCCUAUUUAGAUGUUUCAUAUUUCACCACUGUACGCAUGCUUUUAGAACAGCUCUGUUAAAUUCGGUACGCAUUUACUUUAGUUUAGUACCGUACAAGUUUAAGCUUUUUUUCCCCAAUGUACUUAUUUAACAAGGACAAAGAACCCUUUAUACUCAAGAGUGUCUUGGCAAGAUAAAGAGAAAUGUUACAUCAGGUAAGUUAAUUCAGCAGUGUGUGACAGGCAGCACUAUUGUAUAAAGACACAGCUACAAAAUAAACUGCUUACUGUAGUUGUUUGACUACCUACCUACUUAAAAAAAAAAUGAUAAGAAGCUUCCUCCUGCCUGAUCAAAGUUGACCUCUUCUGUUCUUGGCUCCUGCAAACAGAGAUGACAAAGUACCUGUUCCACUGCCAUUUCUCCCUUUCUCCUGGGGCUAUCUGGGGAUGUUUCCAACCCAAAAAUAUAUGAGCAAAAAGUCCAGGCAAUCCUGUGCCAUUCAUCAAAGAGACAGCCCCAGCUAGAGCUCCUGACAACAGAUCUAAUCUUUUCUUUUCAUUUCUUUUUAGGCCUCGGUCCAGCAGUGUGGAGACAAAAGUGUGUGUGUGUGUCUGUGUGUGUGCAUCAUGACUGUGUGUGUAUCUGUGACUGUAUGUGUGUGUGUGUGUGUGUGUGUGCAUCAGUGACUGUGUGUGUGUCUGUGACUGUGUGUGUCUGUGGCUGUGUGUGUGUGUGUGUGUGUCUGUGACUGUGUGUGUUCGUGUGUAUGUUUGCAUUCUUUUUUUGUCAGUGUGUGCGUGUCUUCUGUUUUUGUGGGUGUGUGUGUGUGUCUUUUGUUUUUGUGUGAGUGUGCAUGUAGUAAAAGAGCAUAGUGAUAGGCUGUAUGAGCUAUGGUGUUCCCUUUAUAAGUGUCCCUCCAGCAGCUGUGGGUUUGUGCAAAAUAGUUCCCAACUCGUCUCUUCUCUUUACUAGUCAUCAUAUACUUCAUAUGAAAACAUUCAAUAGAUAACACCAAUGUGAUAAUGUUUGGCUUGAAUGUUUGUUUGUUUUUUUUGCUGGGGAGAUACCUUGAAAGGUGAUCUGAAAGAUCUUCGCACUGGAUUAAUAAAAUAAAUAUAAGGUCCAUAUUUGAGGCUGUCAUUAAAUUCUGGUAGCCUAAUACUAACGUGAACUAACAUUGUGCCAUUAGAAACUCACAGCUGUUUGACUUUUUAAAUUUUUCGUUUUAAAUUCUGCAGUGCAAAACAGACUUUCAGUAUAAUGCAUUGAACCACCCCUCUCUGAAAACCUAAUAAAAUUGCUCAUGUAGAGACUGCAGUGUAUUUAUAGUCUUCUAUCAUUUCUUUUACGUGCUGCAUUAUCUUCUUCAGGGGCAUCACAGACUCAAAAAAAAGAGGAAGCAAUGGAAAACAGCUCUGUUAGGCAGCAGUAAUCAUGACUGCACUAUGUUGAGCAUGAACUGUGUGUUCCUAUAAAGCACAGGCUGAUCUAGAAGAAAAAAAGAAACGUCAACCCUUCACAUUAAAAGGGAGGGUGCAGGGUUCCUGCGGCCGCCAGCUUCAAUGAAAUGACAUCAUCCAGGGAGCCGUACUCACAGCCAAGCUAGGGGGUAGCAGGGGCUCAUCUUUGGAGGGCCUGGGGAGACUUCCACCAGAAGACCAAUCACAGUCAUGUCGGCUUAAUGCACUGUUUCUCUGACCUUUACCACCCCAAAGUUUGAAAACCAGCUCUCCUACCACCUCUGACCAGGACAAACCACUGCUGGUCAUUACUGGAAUUUUCAACUGAGCUUUUCAUCGUAAUUUGGUUAAAUUUUGUCGCCAGAAUAAACUUUUAAUAAUAAACGUUG